This 245-nucleotide long non-coding RNA is filed under the name Mytilus galloprovincialis (Mediterranean mussel). Lineage: Eukaryota; Metazoa; Mollusca; Bivalvia; Mytilida; Mytilidae. The record is from RNAcentral.
AAAAACACUAAGAGAGAACGCAUUUGCUUUGCUAACCUUAAUUGUUUUCAGUAGAAAAUCAAAUUUUAGAUUCCCAUAAGAUAACAUAUAUUGUGCACAUAAUAACUUGAACUUAUUCAAAAUAUUUUAUUACUGAGAAUUUGCAUUCCCAUACAAAUACAUUUUGUUUUAUCUUGCUACAUACAAUGGAAACCAUCUUUUUUCUUCUAUUACUUUUUUCUUGUAUCUGUUGUAAAGAUAGUAGU